UGGGGGAAUUUUGGACAAUGGGGGGAAACCCUGAUCCAGCCAUCCCGCGUGUGCGAUGAAGGCCUUCGGGUUGUAAAGCACUUUUGGCAGGAAAGAAACGUCGCGGGUUAAUACCCCGCGAAACUGACGGUACUUGCAGAAUAAGCACCGGCUAACUACGUGCCAGCAGCCGCGGUAAUACGUAGGGUGCAAGCGUUAAUCGGAAUUACUGGGCGUAAAGCGUGCGCAGGCGGUUCGGAAAGAAAGAUGUGAAAUCCCAGAGCUUAACUUUGGAACUGCAUUUUUAACUACCGGGCUAGAGUGUGUCAGAGGGAGGUGGAAUUCCGCGUGUAGCAGUGAAAUGCGUAGAUAUGCGGAGGAACACCGAUGGCGAAGGCAGCCUCCUGGGAUAACACUGACGCUCAUGCACGAAAGCGUGGGGGAGCAAACAGGAUUAGAUACCCUGGUAGUCCACGCCCUAAACGAUGUCAACUAGCUGUUGGGGCCUUCGGGCCUUGGUAGCGCAGCUAACGCGUGAAGUUGACCGCCUGGGGAGUAC
Molecule: ribosomal RNA, 538 nt
Filed under: uncultured bacterium
Lineage: Bacteria
Description: partial 16S ribosomal RNA
Rfam family: Bacterial small subunit ribosomal RNA
Source: RNAcentral